Molecule: small nucleolar RNA, 88 nt
Organism: Bison bison bison
Lineage: Eukaryota; Metazoa; Chordata; Mammalia; Artiodactyla; Bovidae
Gene: SNORD14
Rfam family: Small nucleolar RNA SNORD14
About the family: U14 small nucleolar RNA (U14 snoRNA) is required for early cleavages of eukaryotic precursor rRNAs.
Source: Ensembl
UCGCUGUGAUGAAUGAUUUUUAAACAUUCGUAGUUUCCACCAAAAGCUUUAGUUAAUGAUGGCAAAACUUCCUUGGAUGUCUGAGCGA